Molecule: non-coding RNA, 68 nt
Organism: Podarcis lilfordi (Lilford's wall lizard)
Lineage: Eukaryota; Metazoa; Chordata; Lepidosauria; Squamata; Lacertidae
Source: the annotation of a GenBank genome assembly
GCCAUUGCUCAGGGGUAGAGAAUCUGCUUUGCAAGCAGGAGUCGCAGGUUCAAUCCCCGGUAUCUCCA